GACGAACCGUGCGAACGUUAUUCGGAAUCACUGGGCUUAAAGCGCGUGUAGGCGGGUCGGCACGUCGGUCGCUGAAAUCCCCCGGCUCAACCGGGGAACGGGCCCCGAUACGACCGACCUGGAGGGGGGUAGGGGGCGCCGGAACUUCCGGUGGAGCGGUGAAAUGCGUUGAGAUCGGAAGGAACGCCCGUGGCGAAAGCGGGCGCCUGGACCCCACCUGACGCUGAGACGCGAAAGCCAGGGGAGCGAACGGG
This 254-nucleotide ribosomal RNA is filed under the name uncultured microorganism. Its description in RNAcentral is "partial small subunit ribosomal RNA". It matches the Rfam family "Bacterial small subunit ribosomal RNA", at positions 524 to 776 of the family's 1533-position model. The record is from RNAcentral.